GGAUGGAUGAUGCCUUCUAGAUAUGCUUUCUUGGAAAACUGAAAAAAAUGAGUGACAACUCUAUACCAUCGUCCUCACUGAACUGAGGUCC
Molecule: small nucleolar RNA, 91 nt
Organism: Otolemur garnettii (small-eared galago)
Lineage: Eukaryota; Metazoa; Chordata; Mammalia; Primates; Galagidae
Gene: SNORD116
Rfam family: Small nucleolar RNA SNORD116
About the family: HBII-85 is a member of the C/D class of snoRNAs, which contain the C (UGAUGA) and D (CUGA) box motifs. HBII-85 is encoded in a tandemly repeated array with another C/D snoRNA, HBII-52, in the Prader-Willi syndrome (PWS) region of chromosome 15. Unlike most other snoRNAs, HBII-85 is expressed prevalently in the brain (but is absent in PWS patients) and lacks any significant complementarity with ribosomal RNA.
Source: Ensembl